GACGAACGCUGGCGGCGUGCUUAACACAUGCAAGUCGAACGCUGAAGCCCUUUCGGGGGUGGAUGAGUGGCGAACGGGUGAGUAACACGUGGGUAAUCUGCCCUGCACUCUGGGAUAAGCCUUGGAAACGGGGUCUAAUACCGGAUAGGACACAUCGCCGCAUGGUGUGUGUGUGGAAAGUUCCGGCGGUGCAGGUUGAGCCCGCGGCCUAUCAGCUUGUUGGUGGGGUGAUGGCCUACCAAGGCGACGACGGGUAGCCGGCCUGAGAGGGUGACGGGCCACACUGGGACUGAGACACGGCCCAGACUCCUACGGGAGGCAGCAGUGGGGAAUCUUGCGCAAUGGGCGAAAGCCUGACGCAGCAACGCCGCGUGGGGGAUGACGGCCUUCGGGUUGUAAACCUCUUUCGACCGGGACGAAGGGUGACUGACGGUACCGGUAGAAGAAGCACCGGCUAACUACGUGCCAGCAGCCGCCGUAA
RNAcentral lists this ribosomal RNA (481 nucleotides) under uncultured bacterium. RNAcentral describes it as "partial 16S ribosomal RNA". It matches the Rfam family "Bacterial small subunit ribosomal RNA", at positions 28 to 523 of the family's 1533-position model. The record is from RNAcentral.